RNAcentral lists this ribosomal RNA (247 nucleotides) under uncultured Aeromonadaceae bacterium. RNAcentral describes it as "partial 16S ribosomal RNA". It matches the Rfam family "Bacterial small subunit ribosomal RNA", at positions 527 to 773 of the family's 1533-position model. The record is from RNAcentral. Lineage: Bacteria; Pseudomonadati; Pseudomonadota; Gammaproteobacteria; Aeromonadales; Aeromonadaceae.
GGAGGGUGCAAGCGUUAAUCGGAAUAACUGGGCGUAAAGCGCACGCAGGCGGUUUGUUAAGCUAGAUGUGAAAGCCCCGGGCUCAACCUGGGAACUGCAUUUAGAACUGGCGAACUAGAGUCUUGUAGAGGGGGGUAGAAUUCCAGGUGUAGCGGUGAAAUGCGUAGAGAUCUGGAGGAAUACCGGUGGCGAAGGCGGCCCCCUGGACAGAGACUGACGCUCAGGUGCGAAAGCGUGGGGAGCAAAC